GUGGUGGUGUAUGCCUAUAGUCCCAGCUACUUGGGAGGCUGAGGUGGAAGGAUUGCUUGAGCCCAGGAAGGACAAGGCUGGUAUGAGCUGUGAUUGUCCUAUCAUGCUCCAGCCUGACUGAAAGUGAGAUCCUGU
Molecule: long non-coding RNA, 135 nt
Organism: Sapajus apella (tufted capuchin)
Lineage: Eukaryota; Metazoa; Chordata; Mammalia; Primates; Cebidae
Exons: 2
Source: RefSeq, a predicted model, not a curated record